CAAAGGCGUACAGUACUUCCAACCGGCUGCUAACUGGGUGGGAAUUUGCAAUCUUUGUUUCCCCCUCCUCCAACCUCCCUAGCUGCAGGCAGAUGUGAUUUUGAACUCUCUCUCUCCCCCUCUUUCUUUACUUUCCCCUCCUCUCUCCUGUACAGAGAGGGAUUUCUUUUUCUACUUCUCUCCCUCGAUUCCAAGACUCAAGAAGUCUUUUUCUACCUUGGGAGGAGCCAAGCCAAGAUGUUCAAGUUUGAUUCCUGUUCAGUAGAAGCCUUGGAAAUACAGGGAAGCACCUUCAAGCAGAACAGACUGAUGUAUGAACAAAUCAACAGGAUGGCUUCACCAGCUUGGGAAGCAAUAAACACUGAGGGAGAAUUAAGAUGCCAGGAAUCCAGAAGCAAGAUUAGGAACUCAUGCUGGAAUCUAGUCUCUGGGCCUUCAGGACCUCUGUUCUUGAAGAGCAGUUAAGGGUUUGAGGAGAAUCAAGAAGAACAAAGGAGGAAGAAGCUCCACGAUGUUCUAGAAGUAAUGGAGGAGAACAGCUUGGCAAAAUUUAUGAGCUGUCUUCUGUGGAGAGCAGAGACCCAGAGGGUCUGGGUUUGAAUCCUGACUCUCCUAGUCACACCAGAUUGUGUGACCCUGGGCAAGUCACUUCCCUUCUAGAGGAUUUCCACUUCCCCACGUGGCAAAUGAAGAAGUUGCACAAGCCGAUCUUGAAGGGUUCCUUUUCUCUCUAAACACUGUAGAUCCCAUGAAUGCUUUGGAAGCCUUACCUUCAAACCUGAUCUCUUCAUCCUGGGACAUCUCUUGCUAAUUGUUUAUGUCAGUGUUAGCCCUGAAUGGUUAUUUGUGAUGUGUGGAAGAGCGAGGACAAGGAGUCUGGGUCAUUUUGAGCAGUUAUUAUUGUUCUAUUUGGUAUUGUAAGUGGUCAUUCCAUGAUUUGCUUCAUUACAGACAGUGCAUUUAGUUAAGCGUGUGGAUUUAAUGGGGGUCCAUUCUCAGCAGGCCAGGAGGAGCUCAGCUAUAGAAUGAUUACAGAUGCAAACGUUGGGGGAGGGGGAUAAGGAACACAGCAGGAGACACAGGGACUCAGGGUUAGACUUGGGGGUGGGGAGGCUGUUGGGUCCAUUCUCCUACCCUUUCCUGAGAUGAUGAGCGAGGGAUCCCAAGGAAGCUGACUAAUGUCAGGGAGGCCAGGACCCUCAUUACUGAGACCAGUGGCACAUUUCUUCUCUUUCCCUUUGGGGGAUAUUCCUUGCAUGUUCUAAAGCCCGUCCAGUAGAGACACAAUCUUUCCUGGAGGCCCAUGGGAGGGCUUUGUGAAGCCACUAUAUCCACCUCAUAGAGAACUAAAAAUGACCACAAUUAAAGCUGAAAGAUGACAAAGCACCUAAGGUCAAAAUCACCAGCUCUCCCUCCCCAUGUAUUUUUUUUAAAAGAUACAUUGAAGGAAGCAGGUCUCCAGGGAUGAUUUGGUUACCCAAAAAAAUAAAAAAAAGUUUUAGAAAACCGAA
Molecule: long non-coding RNA, 1511 nt
Filed under: Vombatus ursinus (common wombat)
Lineage: Eukaryota; Metazoa; Chordata; Mammalia; Diprotodontia; Vombatidae
Description: lncRNA (ENSVURG00010018309.1)
Source: RNAcentral